GCAAGGAAAAAGCAAGGAAGUCUUUUCAGACUGCUGCUGUCUGAUACUUUGCUCUCAAAAGAAGCCACUCUAUCGUCAUGACGUUAAGAUCAAAUGGAUUUCCACAUUUCCACAGAAUUAGAUAAAGAGAUGUUAGUUUCACAACACCAAGGAAAGGAAAGCAUCAUCACUGGAGAAAAAACUAUGAGAAUAAACUUAGGAAGGUUUGCCUGCUAUCUUCUGCUCAUUCAGCAUUUCCUUUUUGCUGCACUUCAGCUGUCUUUCCAACAGAGAAGACAUCAAGUUGAGGAAGCGGAAACCAAGAUUCUCGGUGCUUUCCAGACCUGUUGUGGCAGAUUAAUAAAGGACACUUGGGAUACCAGUAUCAAUAAAGUAAAGUGAAGUAACUUGACACAAGACACAGUAAACCAAGGUAUAACACUGUAGAGCACUGCAGUGGAAUGGAGGAGGAAUACAAAGGGGAGAGAAUUGGUGUUCAAGGGUGUACGACUGAGACACUGAGAAGUAAAGACCAACAACCCAAAAUAGAAAAAUGAUGACAUCUACACCAGACCUCCUAAUAAAACCAACAAGCUACCUCUGGUAUGUGGUACUGGACAUCAUAAAACCACUCUAUGCUGACUGUACUGCAGUUGCUUAUGUGCAAUUUAAAAGUAAAUCAUGAUGAAAAAGCUGUAAUUGUC
Molecule: long non-coding RNA, 683 nt
Organism: Zonotrichia leucophrys gambelii
Lineage: Eukaryota; Metazoa; Chordata; Aves; Passeriformes; Passerellidae
Exons: 3
Source: RefSeq, a predicted model, not a curated record